AAAAGAAAAAAAAAAGAAAGAAAGAAAGAUAUCAGGCCUCUAUUAGGCACACUCCACAAAACUUAGGCGGCCUUUAUCUAUUACUUCCAUACAUGAGCAUAAGUUCUUCUAUAAUAAAUCAGCGCAUAGAGGUUCACAUCAGAUAAGCAGCCAAUGUACAUUGAGCAGACAUUGUUUCAGUAGUAAGUGUACAUACGCUCAAAAUUUGGAUGGCAUCUCACUUUUCCUAGGGAGGCCAAGAAUUUACUGGACAUGGUCUUAACGUACCACUCCUCCAAGAAUGCAAAAGUCGACCUCACCCUAGCUUUUUUUUUAAAAAAUCUAUGGAAAGAAAAAAA
Long non-coding RNA from Cucurbita maxima (winter squash), 338 nucleotides. RefSeq lists it as uncharacterized. The record is from RefSeq and is a predicted model, not a curated record. Lineage: Eukaryota; Viridiplantae; Streptophyta; Magnoliopsida; Cucurbitales; Cucurbitaceae. The transcript has 2 exons.